Molecule: ribosomal RNA, 771 nt
Filed under: Staphylococcus kloosii
Lineage: Bacteria; Bacillati; Bacillota; Bacilli; Caryophanales; Staphylococcaceae
Description: bacterial SSU rRNA
Rfam family: Bacterial small subunit ribosomal RNA
Source: RNAcentral
CUCAGGAUGAACGCUGGCGGCGUGCCUAAUACAUGCAAGUCGAGCGAACAGAUAAGGAGCUUGCUCCUUUGACGUUAGCGGCGGACGGGUGAGUAACACGUGGGUAACCUACCUAUAAGACUGGAAUAACUUCGGGAAACCGAAGCUAAUGCCGGAUAACAUGUAGAACCGCAUGGUUCUACAGUGAAAGAUGGCYUUGCUAUCACUUAUAGAUGGACCCGCGCCGUAUUAGCUAGUUGGUAAGGUAACGGCUUACCAAGGCAACGAUACGUAGCCGACCUGAGAGGGUGAUCGGCCACACUGGAACUGAGACACGGUCCAGACUCCUACGGGAGGCAGCAGUAGGGAAUCUUCCGCAAUGGGCGAAAGCCUGACGGAGCAACGCCGCGUGAGUGAUGAAGGUCUUCGGAUCGUAAAGCUCUGUUAUUAGGGAAGAACAAGUGCGUAAGUAACUGUGCGCACCUUGACGGUACCUAAUCAGAAAGCCACGGCUAACUACGUGCCAGCAGCCGCGGUAAUACGUAGGUGGCAAGCGUUAUCCGGAAUUAUUGGGCGUAAAGCGCGCGUAGGCGGUUUCUUAAGUCUGAUGUGAAAGCCCACGGCUCAACCGUGGAGGGUCAUUGGAAACUGGGAGACUUGAGUGCAGAAGAGGAAAGUGGAAUUCCAUGUGUAGCGGUGAAAUGCGCAGAGAUAUGGAGGAACACCAGUGGCGAAGGCGACUUUCUGGUCUGUAACUGACGCUGAUGUGCGAAAGCGUGGGGAUCAAACAGG